CCUACUACUACUUUGAUGGGACAGGAAGUCUAGAGGGGACUGAAGUUGGGUAUUUUCCUUGCUCCAGGUUGGUUAGGCUCUGGUAAAUAGUUUCUCUUGAGGGAAGGCCUUGUUAAGAACAACAGAAUGCUCUGGGCAUAAUUCAAAAUGGCUGUUUUCUCCCUCACAUUGCCAUGAGCAAGGUUUUCUUUCCUGAGGGCCUUUUUCUCUAGUCUUUGCCGUGAGAGCCUGGUAGGGCUCCUGGAAGAAAAAUACAAAAGUAUGGAAGUAUCCCUAAUAUUGGGGUCCCCUGGAGAUUUUAACUCUCAAUCUUGUCUAAACUGAGCUUCCAGCAAUUUGUAAAUUACAGUUUAUGUUUUUCUACCUCAGUACUGGUUCUCAUGGAAUUACAGUCGGUUCUUUGGGAACACAUCUAGUGUCCACAGAAGUGGGAAAGGGCCUGACGCUGGGGACUCCCUUCACAUCAAGGAGAAUUGCUCUGGAAUGCUGUGGCCCAUUUCACCACCCAAGAUUAAAAAUAGAAAGGGCCAAGAAGGAUGAACUUCUCCACACGUUGAGCAGAACACCGUGCAGCGGUAACCAAUGCCAGAGGAACCAACCGCGUGGAGGAGAGCAAAGACCAUCACAAUGCCAGACACCAGGGACAGAAGUCCAAACGCUUCUGCUCGCUACGUCGUGCUAUCAGAGUCACCAGGGAAGACACAAACAGCUGAACACUGGAUGGAACAAGGCUUUUACUCACAUAGGUAAGAGAGAACAAGAUCAGCUCCAAUAAUCUGCGUCAGUCCCUCAUGGCUACUGGGUGCCCCUGACAGCUGACUCAGGGCAAUUGACCUAUGUGCACCGCUCUUGUGCUGCAGUAGAAGGAUGUUGACACCUCCUCUGUGGAGUCUGAAAUACUGAACUCGGGGAGUGUGCCAUAGAGCCACUGAUGAAUGAAGAAAUACUCAUUGAGCUCGAAGCAGGGAAAGAUAUUCCCGCACAAAGUGAUAAAGCUGGCACGGGCAUGGGCUCUUUAUCUCUUGGUAAGGAAAUGUUCCAGGCCUGGGGCCCAUUUUUAUGUGGCUGGGCAGGAGCUGGAAGACUGCACGCAUGAGUCUGCCAUUCCCACACCACAUAAACACACGGAGCCUCACAGAAAAUCAGACACUCCUCUCAAACCAAAUAAAUGGUGUAAUCCUUGGGGAAAACUAUAUGCUAUUUCAGCAAUCUCCACAAUAUACUGUAUUGGAUUUACUUUGUUCACAAAAUUGGUGUCAAAGACAAAGCUAUGAAUACAGAAAAAUCUGGAAUGUGAUGGUAAACUUAACAAUUUUUAAGCAUGGAUAGAAUAAACUACUAAAACAUAUGC
This 1351-nucleotide long non-coding RNA is filed under the name Equus caballus (horse). RNAcentral describes it as "lncRNA (ENSECAG00000031117.3)". The record is from RNAcentral. Lineage: Eukaryota; Metazoa; Chordata; Mammalia; Perissodactyla; Equidae.